UGUGCCGGGAAGAUGGUGUCAGGUUCAGUUGAUCAAUCUGAUGGUUCCUUCCUGGAUGAGAAUCAAAUGGAGGGGGGUUAUCUGCUGACUUGUGUUUCAUACCCAACUUCAGAUUGUGUGAUUCACACUCACAAGGAGAGUGAACUUUGCUGAGUACUGUUUGUCAUAAUUCAGUAGGCCAUGACACUUAUGUAAACCUGCUAAGGAUUCAUAUGAUGGUGAAGGUUCCUUUGGACCUUUGGUACUCUUUUAAGUU
RNAcentral lists this unclassified non-coding RNA (256 nucleotides) under Hevea brasiliensis (rubber tree). Lineage: Eukaryota; Viridiplantae; Streptophyta; Magnoliopsida; Malpighiales; Euphorbiaceae. The record is from RNAcentral.